UAGGGAAUCUUCCGCAAUGGGCGAAAGCCUGACGGAGCAACGCCGCGUGAGUGAUGAAGGUCUUCGGAUCGUAAAACUCUGUUAUUAGGGAAGAACAAAUGUGUAAGUAACUAUGCACGUCUUGACGGUACCUAAUCAGAAAGCCACGUCUAACUACGUGCCAGCAGCCGCGUUAAUACGUAGGUGUCAAGCGUUAUCCGGAAUUAUUGGGCGUAAAGCGCGCGUAGGCGGUUUUUUAAGUCUGAUGUGAAAGCCCACGGCUCAACCGUGGAGGGUCAUUGGAAGCUGGAAAACUUGAGUGCAGAAGCGGAAAGUGGAAUUCCAUGUGUAGCGGUGAAAUGCGCAGAGAUAUGGAGGAACACCAGUGGCGAAGGCGACUUUCUGGUCUGUAACUGACGCUGAUGUGCGAAAGCGUGGGGAUCAAACAGG
RNAcentral lists this ribosomal RNA (429 nucleotides) under Actinomycetes bacterium. RNAcentral's name for it is "Actinobacteria bacterium partial 16S ribosomal RNA". It matches the Rfam family "Bacterial small subunit ribosomal RNA", at positions 355 to 776 of the family's 1533-position model. Lineage: Bacteria; Bacillati; Actinomycetota; Actinomycetes. The record is from RNAcentral.